Molecule: long non-coding RNA, 4081 nt
Organism: Bombus impatiens (common eastern bumble bee)
Lineage: Eukaryota; Metazoa; Arthropoda; Insecta; Hymenoptera; Apidae
Exons: 3
Source: RefSeq, a predicted model, not a curated record
GUGCGUCCAUUUGUGCUCGAAACAAUUUUUAACAUAAUUGCGCCUUUCCUCUUCCUGGGCACAUGUAUAUCUCUCUGUCAUCGCGUUACACCGGAAUUAUUAUGAAUAACAAGGAACCGCAAUAAUGACCGUUACGACGUUUUCAAAGGAGACAGUUGGUUUUUUGGUUGUGGUCAAACGCGACUUGAUCUACUUGAGAAAUGAGAACUAUAACAAAUGGAAUUAAAUGCAUAAUACAAAUAGAAACAAUACGGAGAUAGAUAUUUUUCAGGGACGUUAGUUGAUACGACGAGAUUUCUUUUAGAAGAGUAUCCGACUUAUAGAGAACAACACGCGUGAGUUUACCAUUAUAAAUUUGUGAAGAGCAAAUAAAAGUCCUAUACACUAACGUUUUCGGGAUCUGCUCCUCCUCCUACCACGAAACUUAUGUAGCGUUUGACCAUACCAAGCGAACAAGUCGUAAAAUACUGAGAAAAGAUUCUCCCGUCUCAUGGGCAGCUUUUUACGAAGGCGCGUGAACAGCGGUAGGGCCAGUAUGGGUCUAUUAACACGGUUUCAUCGUCGACACAAAUCUUCCAUUUCGGUGGAAAAAGUAAGCUGGCGGUAGCAUCGAGCACGUGCUGCCGUCACGAUAAAAAAAUGUCUUCUCUUCCUGCCAUUCGAAUUUCUACUGAUGUUUCUUUCACGUAUCAUUAGGAAACGAUACAUUAAACGUUGUACAGAAGUCAGGAACUCGCCGUUCUGUACUCAUGGCAUACACACACAAUCGAACGACAUUUCCUUCGUGUUACGGUUAUGUGCGCGACGAAUAACAACUACACACGUUCGAGCUUCUAUCUCGUGUACCGGCUACAAAUAAACCAGCCUCGAUAACCACGUUCGCCUAUUUCGUUAAACAAACAAAACUGUCCUCUAGCAGCUGGCACGCGUCGCCUCUUUGCUUUUCCAGCAAAGACGGAGAAAGUUUCGCGCUUCGAGCGGUCCUAUUUGCAGGCUGGAUCUCGUGUAUAUAACCGGUGCUGUUGUGCCGUGCGUACGGCGACGUUUGCGCACGUGUGUGCGUCACGUUUAACAGAAUCGAGGGACGGUUAAUAGCGAAACGCUUCUUCCUUCCCAUCGCGACGAGGCAGCAGCAACAGCAGCAGCGGCAACACGCAGCAUCACGCGCGCCACAGUUCGCGUCGCGCCGGUUACGCGACGCUGCAGCUAACGACCUGGAUAACCAGCCGUGAUGUUUCCAAAGUAACGUCAUCGUUCGCCGCGAUGCGACACGAGGCGACGAGUCUGACGACGGAGUCGCUCAUUACAACUUCCGGUCCAGGAGAGCGAGCCAGAAAGAGAGCGGCCCGAGGGAAUGAGAAAGAUGGAGAGAGACAGAGAUCUCGAGCGGCGAUGGUGGGGACAAGAGAAUCAGCAGAACAGCGCGGCGGACCAACUGGUCGACGGAAUGAGACAGAGAGCGCGAGCGUGAGUAAGAUGGACGGUGGGGAGGGAGAGAAGGAGCGAGAAUCGAGCGAAAAUGCUCAACAAAUAGCCACAUCCUCAUAAUGGAACGGCGUAUCAAACUCAUUAGACAUCAUUAUCGAAUCGACACGAUUACGUUCCGCAGAAAGAUCCGAUCUUCCCGUUAAAAACGAACGAUCGGCUCGGAUAGACGCUUGAUCGUCAUCAUGAGCGCUGAUACGACGCGCGUACACACGCCGUACGUUGAGAAGUCAGCGCAUUAGGCAUACACGCUAAAGACACUCUCUGCAUCCGUCGAGAAAUUUAGGCGUACGAGAGUGCGGGAACCCAGUCGCGCUAGAGCAAUGAUUCAUGCCAGGUAUGUUAAACUGGUUCCGAGCGGACUGCAGCCGCUGGAAAAAAGGCUCGUAGCCCGAUCUACGAGACACAAUGCAACGUUAGAGAGAAAACAGCUACGUGGACGUAUGUAGAUCCGCAACCCCGACCCCGCUCCCGUCAAAGGGUGGAGUGGUUGGGAAAGCAGGAAGCGAACGGAUUUUAUGUAAGAAAGGAAAAUCAUAAUGCACAACUAUACGUGUCUAUUCGAGGAAAAUGAUUGGAAACGUCAACGAGAAAUCCGAGAUUCGCGUUACGAUUUCUUCGUAUUAUACCCCUUGCUUCGUCAUAUAAUUUUCUGCAUAGUACAGUGCCCAGGAUAAAUUUCCAGAUAAACGAUUCUGCACGUUAUAUUAUUAUAGACGUAACCUUGCUUCUAAUCGAUGGUUCUAUACGAGUGUUGGCUGAUUUAAAAAAAUACCAACGACUAAUUUCACGUAGUAAAAAUACCGGCCUCGUAAUAUAUAAUAAAUGAGAAUAUCGAUCUAAACGUGGGUACGGCGUAAUCGUUCGAUGAGUACGCGCUGCGUACGCCACGCAGAAGCAUCGAGUCAGUGCUUACUCGCGCGCGUUUCGGUCGCACGACACGCCAGCGGUUCUCAAUCUGAAGAUUACGGCGUGUAAGAGGAUGCGAGAAAGCUCGGCCGAACGGAAGACACGAUAAGCACGUACGGAAAUCCGUAGCGGGUUCUGAAUUUAAAACACGAACAGUCUUGACACCGUUCUAAGUGUCCGAGUCUAAUGUUAUUGGACGGUCAAUAUUAGCGCGCUUCACGUGAUGAGCGACGAGCACCAUACGGCUUCCUUUUACACGCCACCGUUUUCCCUCCUAUCGAGGAAUGCUUUAGGCAUCGCUGGAACGACGGCGUUGCCAGGGUCUGCAGGUACGAAAGAAACGAAGUUAUACUCGGUAUGCAAUAUGGACCGAUGCGUGCCUUGUGGAUAAAAAUGGUCGGCGUAAAUUUCUCUCACCUUGAAACUACAUAGUUCGAUGGGAAGACGAUUCGUCGAAGGAUCGCGUGUACGCUUUUGACAUUUCGUGGAUUGCCGUGCGUUAGCCCCGAUUUCCCUAUGAGCGAAUCCUGCGACACCCCAGACGAAUUUAAAGCUUUUAUGAAACGAGAGGGGUCGACCAAUGACUAAGGGUAAAAUACGAAGAAAGAGACAGACAGAAAGAGAACUGUAGAAAUAGUAGGGCGGUAGAGGACGGAGUGAGCAAAUUGAAAAGUGGAGGAACGAGGAGGGAACAGGACGACGAAAAAGGACGUAGAAAAGGGAGCACGCGGCGAAGAAGAAGAAAAGGCUCGCUUUUCAGACGGUUCAAUAGAUUUCGAUCUGAGCGACUUUUUUCUGAGCUCGAAACGAAACGACGAACAAUGGGCCAGACGGAAACCAUGGCCGAGCUUGAAGACUUCCCGUGUGUACGAUUCCACGUGCACAUGUGUAUGCACAAGGGAUAGAAUAAUCGUGUGCGUGUACAUCUGGAUCGACCGGGUCCUGAACGAGAACGGAAGUUUAAUGACUUCAAGUGUCGGUGAAAAUCAGGAUCAGCUGGGGGCUCGUGUUCCGCGCGCUUUGUCGCUUGAUGACGUAAAAAGAAAUACAGAACCCUUGUCCGAAGGUUACGAAAGUUCAUCCGGUGCCGAAUGAAACGCGAGGAUGAAGCAGAAAUAUCUAAUACAGGAAUUUUUCAUUUUUAUGCAUAUACCUGGAAACGCGAAGCUGGUAAAGCGGCCAGUUCUCUCCUAUCCGUUGCUCCCGUCUGGUGGGCCCACGAGAGAGAAAGUCAGUCGACAUCGAUUACGUAUAGCAGUUGGGAGUCGAAGGUCCCCCAGCUGUUCUUCCGUGGAGAGCGAUGGACCAACGCCUCCUUUGAAAGGCCUCUUGCAAGCUGAUGAUGUUUAUCCGCUGGAUCUCGCCGAAAUUGAUUGUUUCCUCCCGACUGUAAAAAACGAAACGUUCGAUGUAUAUAAAAAAGAAGGAAGGAAAAAAGAGAUGGGGAAACUAAGAAGAAAAGAAGGAAAUAUAUCGUUUCACGGUUGUAACAAUAAGCCUAUAAGGUACAUUUUACAUACAUAUAUUCUAGCAUUUUACCAUUGCUGAAGCGAUAAUAACAUUAUAAAAUAUUUAUCGAAGCAAUGCAAUAUUGCAAUGAUAAGAUUAACAGAAUUCUUUGUUCCAAACAUCGUAAUUCCUGAAUGUUUCCAAACCGUAUUAUGAAUCCAUUGUAAUUUCGAGUUAA